This 212-nucleotide ribosomal RNA is filed under the name uncultured Delftia sp. Its description in RNAcentral is "partial 16S ribosomal RNA". It matches the Rfam family "Bacterial small subunit ribosomal RNA", at positions 142 to 354 of the family's 1533-position model. Lineage: Bacteria; Pseudomonadati; Pseudomonadota; Betaproteobacteria; Burkholderiales; Comamonadaceae. The record is from RNAcentral.
AGUAACUACUCGAAAGAGUAGCUAAUACCGCAUACGAUCUGAGGAUGAAAGCGGGGGACCUUCGGGCCUCGCGCGAUUGGAGCGGCCGAUGGCAGAUUAGGUAGUUGGUGGGNUAAAAGCUUACCAAGCCGACGAUCUGUAGCUGGUCUGAGAGGACGACCAGCCACACUGGGACUGAGACACGGCCCAGACUCCUACGGGAGGCAGCAGAG